Molecule: small RNA, 680 nt
Filed under: Pongo abelii (Sumatran orangutan)
Lineage: Eukaryota; Metazoa; Chordata; Mammalia; Primates; Hominidae
Description: processed transcript
Source: RNAcentral
CCCCGACAGCCGGGGCCGGAGGAGAGAGAAGCUAAGGAGGAGCGGCGAAGGACGCCGCGGGUUGGGGCGGCCACCGGCUGGAGGAAGGCGGGGCGGAGGGCUGCAGGGCGGGGUAAGGACUGGGGCUGGCCGGCCGGCCGCAUGCGCGCGCGGCUUUGGAAGAGUUUAAAGAACGCUGUACUCAGUGUGCUGCUGUCUCAUGGGGUCUUACUGAUGAAGGCAAAUAUUAUUGCACUAAUUGCCACAAUGUUACAGAGAGAUCUCAGGAAGUUACAAGCACUGAUCUUAUUCCUAAUACCCAAAUAAAAGCCCUCAACCGGGGGCUUAAAAAAAAAAGCAAUACUGAAAAAGGCUGGGAUUGGUAUGUGUGUGAAGGUUUCCAGUACAUUCUUUAUCAACAAGCAGAAGCCUUAAAGAACCUUGGAGUAGGCCCAGAGUUAAAGAAUGAUGUUUUACAUAAUUUUUGGAAGCGCUACCUUCAGAAGAGCAAGCAGGCAUAUUGUAAAAACCCAGUUUAUACCACUGGAAGGAAACCUACGGUAUUAGAAGAUAAUCUAAGUCAGUCAGACUGGGCUAGUGAGCCUGAGCUGCUAAGUGAUGUCAGCUGUCCUCCUUUUCUUGAAAGUGGAGCGGAGUCUCAGUCUGACAUCCACACUCGAAAACCUUUCCCCAUCAGCAAA